This is a long non-coding RNA of Anopheles coluzzii, 1433 nucleotides long. RefSeq lists it as uncharacterized. The record is from RefSeq and is a predicted model, not a curated record. The transcript has 4 exons. NCBI's taxonomy places the organism in Eukaryota, Metazoa, Arthropoda, Insecta, Diptera, Culicidae.
AAAGCAAGAGUGUCAAAGAUCAUUGAUUUCUUUCUGUUAAAUAAAAUACGUACAUGUCUUUUAGUCUUACAGGGUUUUCAACGGUUAUAUUGACAUGUUCAACUAGCAAUUGAAUCGUUCGAGCAUACCCGGCAAACAAUGCGAGGGUUGGUGAGGUACCUCUCGCUCUAGCUUUCACGCUGUUGAUGCUCUACCUGUUGAGCUGAGCUUUCACGUCCCUUACCACCGAUCUUCUUCCUACCCCUCGCCUAAGAUCGUCUGACGUCUCGCCUGACACCUUUCGUUGUGUUGGUGCUAUGCGGCUGCUGUCACUGUAGAAGUCAGGUUGUGUGUGUAAAAAAACGUAAACAGUGUUGUUGGCUGAUCAAUUUUGGUAAGUUUUUUAAUAAUUAAGGUCUUAAUUUUACGUAAGUAAAUGCCAUUUUAGCAAAAGUUAGUGGUAGAAGUCCUGCCCAAUGCGUGCUGGCUCCGUCGGAAGCGGUACGCAUAUGUACCGGCGUAGGAAAGUGGUGUGAUGAACAACACAGCAUAAGACAACGGAUAUAAUGCAGAAACGAUAUGGGCAUGCCGCAGGUGUUUGCGACUGUGCGUUGCAUUUUAUAUGAUUCGGUGUGUUCGCCAAUUUUCCUCUAUUCUGGAACGUGGUGUUACGAGGAACCGUUCAAGAAGAUCCCCCGGAAGCUGUACGGCGACGAGUCGGGCUCUACCAGCACAAUACGCUAAAGGCCCAGCCGGCACCGGGUGCCCCGAUUGCGCCGCCGGACGGUGUCGAGGAAAAAACGUUGAAACGUUCGGGGCAGGAAUUCAACCCUUCGGAUCCUCAUUAUCCUCUGCCCCACAAUAGCUGCAGCAGCAACAGGACCGAACCGACAGCACUACUGAUUGCGGUCAAAUUUCCUGGCAGGAGAAAAAACCCCACAAGUGUAUCGAUUUCAUCGACGGUCGCUCGCUGGCAGCACCAACAUGCCACCGAAUAACCCCGGAAAGGCGACAAACACUCAUCACAGUGGCGACAGUGGCAAAUUUUUAACGUGAACCCACUUCCGCCCAUCUACACGACAUCGCGUUAAUAGUGUUAUUGUGUUAAUUGGAAAAAUAACUUUAUGUUAACGAGUUAAGUUUAAUCUUAAGUGCGCUUUAAGUCAUAAAUCGAUAUGCCUAAUUUUAUGUUAAGUGUUUUGAAAUGUGCGUGUGUGUGAAGGGGCGGAAUAAGCGCUAAUUUUGCCCCGUGGUCUUGAGGGGCCCCAAAAAAGGAACCCACCCCCCACUCGCAAGUAAAAUUGCUACCCAAUCCUUCUCUAGUUUAGAGCAUUUCCCUGCUAGACGCUGCAGCCACACCUACAUUUAUGUGACUGCUUAGGGCCUCCACUCGUAUGUGCGGGUUUUACACAACAUUUAAGAUAAAUAAAUCUAGAUUAUAUUCUCAUAAAACA